GGUAAUGAGCGGCAGGAGGUGUGGGGAAGACGGAGUGGGGGAGGGUUAAUCGGAAUUGCUGGGGGUAAAGCGUGCGCAGGCGGGUGUGCAAGACGGAUGUGAAAUCCCCGGGCUUAACCUGGGAAUGGCAUUUGGGACUGCAAGGCUGGAGUGCGGCAGAGGAGACUGGAAUUCCUGGUGUAGCAGUGAAAUGCGUAGAUAUCAGGAGGAAUACCGAUGGCGAAGGCAGGUCUCUGGGCUGACACUGACGCUCAUGCACGAAAGCGUGGGGAGCAAACAGGAUUAGAUACCUGAGUAGUC
This 300-nucleotide ribosomal RNA is filed under the name uncultured bacterium. RNAcentral describes it as "bacterial SSU rRNA". The stretch from base 52 to 300 matches the Rfam family "Bacterial small subunit ribosomal RNA", at positions 547 to 795 of the family's 1533-position model. The record is from RNAcentral.